This 498-nucleotide ribosomal RNA is filed under the name uncultured bacterium. Its description in RNAcentral is "partial 16S ribosomal RNA". It matches the Rfam family "Bacterial small subunit ribosomal RNA", at positions 30 to 523 of the family's 1533-position model. The record is from RNAcentral.
AUUGAACGCUGGCGGCAUGCUUUACACAUGCAAGUCGAACGGUAACAGGUCUUCGGAUGCUGACGAGUGGCGAACGGGUGAGUAAUACAUCGGAACGUGCCUAGUAGUGGGGGAUAACUACUCGAAAGAGUAGCUAAUACCGCAUGAGAUCUACGGAUGAAAGCAGGGGACCUUCGGGCCUUGUGCUACUAGAGCGGCCGAUGGCAGAUUAGGUAGUUGGUGGGGUAAAGGCUUACCAAGCCUGCGAUCUGUAGCUGGUCUGAGAGGACGACCAGCCACACUGGGACUGAGACACGGCCCAGACUCCUACGGGAGGCAGCAGUGGGGAAUUUUGGACAAUGGGCGAAAGCCUGAUCCAGCAAUGCCGCGUGCAGGAUGAAGGUCCUCGGGUUGUAAACUGCUUUUGUACGGAACGAAAAGCCUGGGGCUAAUAUCCCCGGGUCAUGACGGUACCGUAAGAAUAAGCACCGGCUAACUACGUGCCAGCCGCCGCCGUAA